This 253-nucleotide ribosomal RNA is filed under the name uncultured prokaryote. Its description in RNAcentral is "partial 16S ribosomal RNA". It matches the Rfam family "Bacterial small subunit ribosomal RNA", at positions 524 to 776 of the family's 1533-position model. The record is from RNAcentral.
UACGAAGGGGGCUAGCGUUGCUCGGAAUUACUGGGCGUAAAGGGUGUGUAGGCGGUUUUUUAAGUUUGGUGUGAAAUCUCCCGGCUCAACUGGGAGGGUGCGCCGAAUACUGAAAGACUAGAGUGCGGGAGAGGAAAGUGGAAUUCCUGGUGUAGCGGUGAAAUGCGUAGAUAUCAGGAGGAACACCGGUGGUGUAGACGGCUUUCUGGACCGUAACUGACGCUGAGACACGAAAGCGUGGGUAGCAAACAGG